CGCUUUCGGGGAAGGCCUGCAAAGUGAGGCCUCCGGCUGGGGUUAGCGGGCGCGUGGUGGGAACCGCGUGGAACCGAAGGGCUCCCACGGGAACAAGGGCAUCACUGACGGUAUGGCCUCUCAGGUCUGUUGACCCUCCCUCUGCCUCCCCGGUCCGGACUCAUACAACUUCGAAGUCCAGAGGUCGUCCAGUCUCAUCUUGACGUCAGAAUGACACAGCCAGUUAUCAAAAGAAAUCUCCAAGGAAUUCCCUGUAUGCUGAGGAAUGAAGGAUGUGAGAAAGAAAUUAACUGUCUUCUGCUCUCAAGUUAGACCCCUAAGAAAACUCUUAAGAGUAUCUAAUAACUAGAGGCAUCUGUCACACCAGC
This 368-nucleotide non-coding RNA is filed under the name Pongo abelii (Sumatran orangutan). The record is from RNAcentral. Lineage: Eukaryota; Metazoa; Chordata; Mammalia; Primates; Hominidae.